AUGUUGAUGUCUUUUAUUAAUUUAGAGUUGAAUUUUCUUCAGUGUGAGAAAUAAGGAUCAAGUUCAUUAUAACCCCCAUUAAAUUCUAGCAUAAUUCUUCAUAGAAAUGGGAAAGAAUGAUAAAUUAAAUAUGGAAAUCCAAAAGACCCAACGUAGUCAGAACAGUUCUGAGGAAUUAAAGCAAAAUCUGCUGGAAGUUCUGCCAUCCUUCAUUUCAAGUUAUAAUUCAGAAUUUAGUAGUAAAGUCAGUGUGGUUCCAUCAGGAAACUGGAUAGCUACGACUGAAGCUGGGUCCUUGUUGCUCACCCUGCCUGCGUAGCAUUGUUACAUCUUUGAGUUUGGAUUGCUUCAUGCUCAGGUCUUAUUUCUACAUGCUAAUCUCUCGGCAUUUUUGAAAUUGUACUAUAAAGUAGAAAUAAUCUUGAUACUGUGUUUGAAGUUUGGCCCUUUUGCUUAGUAGAUUUUUUUAAAAAAUGUGUCUACAAUGUCCAAGAUCUCUAAUUUACAAUGGUAGGUAGCAUCUAUUACCCAUUGUCUGUGUUGUAAAUCAGAGCUGACUUGAAUUACCCAAGUCUUGUAAUUCUUCCACACUGGGUGAGGGAUCUUCAGCAAGACCAUGUUAUUUCUGUCUUCUCACAGUUUAAAGAUAAGAAAAUGAAUCAAAAAAGAAAAA
This 673-nucleotide long non-coding RNA is filed under the name Rattus norvegicus (Norway rat). RNAcentral describes it as "long non-coding RNA NONRATT022358". The record is from RNAcentral. Lineage: Eukaryota; Metazoa; Chordata; Mammalia; Rodentia; Muridae.